This 265-nucleotide small nuclear RNA is filed under the name Erinaceus europaeus (western European hedgehog). RNAcentral describes it as "7SK RNA". It matches the Rfam family "7SK RNA". Rfam says of the family: 7SK was discovered as an abundant small nuclear RNA in the mid-70s but a possible function has only recently been suggested. The record is from Rfam by way of RNAcentral. Lineage: Eukaryota; Metazoa; Chordata; Mammalia; Eulipotyphla; Erinaceidae.
GGAUGUGAGGUCUAUCUGGCUGUGACAUCUGUCACCCCAUUGACCACCAGGUUUUAUUCAGCUGAUCGGGCUGGCUAGGCGGGUGUCCCCUUCCUCCCUCACCAUUCUAUGUGCAUCCUUCCCCAAGAUUCGUGCUUGGCCUGGAUGACCUUCUCUAAAUAGAACCUUCCCAUGCUAGAACCUCCAAACAAGCUCUCAAGAUCCAAAAGGACCUCUGGUUUUUCUAUUCACACAAAACAAUGGCAUUUUAUCUCUAAUGUUCACU